CCUACGGGAGGCAGCAGUGAGGAAUAUUGGUCAAUGGACGAGAGUCUGAACCAGCCAAGUAGCGUGAAGGAUGACUGCCCUAUGGGUUGUAAACUUCUUUUAUAUGGGAAUAAAACGUUCCACGUGUGGGCUUUUGUAUGUACCAUAUGAAUAAGGAUCGGCUAACUCCGUGCCAGCAGCCGCGGUAAUACGGUGGAGGCGAGCGUUAUCCGGAUUUGUUGGGUUUAAAGGGAGCGUAGGUGGAUUGUUAAGUCAGUUGUGAAAGUUUGCGGCUUAACCGUAAAAUUGCAGUUGAAACUGGCAGUCUUGAGUACAGUAGAGGGGGGUGGAAUUCGUGGUGUAGCGGUGAAAUGCGUAGAUAUCACGAAGAACUCCGAUUGCGAAGGCAGUUCACUGGACUGCAACUGACACUGAGGCUCGAAAGUGUGGGGAUCAAACAGGAUUAGAUACCCGGGUAGUC
This 460-nucleotide ribosomal RNA is filed under the name uncultured bacterium. RNAcentral's name for it is "partial 16S ribosomal RNA". It matches the Rfam family "Bacterial small subunit ribosomal RNA", at positions 338 to 795 of the family's 1533-position model. The record is from RNAcentral.